Molecule: ribosomal RNA, 251 nt
Filed under: uncultured prokaryote
Description: partial 16S rRNA
Rfam family: Bacterial small subunit ribosomal RNA
Source: RNAcentral
ACGUAGGGGGCAAGCGUUGUACGGAUUUACUGGGUGUAAAGGGUGCUCAGGCGGGUUUGUAAGUCAGAGGUGAAACUCCGAAGCUUAACUUCGGAACUGCCUUUGAUACUGCAAUCCUGGAGUUUGAGAGAGGUGAGAGGAAUAUCUGGUGUAGCAGUGAAAUGCGGAAAUAUCAGAUAGAACACCAAUGGCGAAGGCGUCUCACUGGCACGAUACUGACACUAAAGCACGAAAGUUGGGGUAGCAAACAG